This 450-nucleotide unclassified non-coding RNA is filed under the name Pichia fermentans. RNAcentral describes it as "sequence contains 18S rRNA gene, ITS1, 5.8S rRNA gene, ITS2, 28S rRNA gene". The stretch from base 123 to 275 matches the Rfam family "5.8S ribosomal RNA". Lineage: Eukaryota; Fungi; Ascomycota; Pichiomycetes; Pichiales; Pichiaceae. The record is from RNAcentral.
UCGUAACAAGGUUUCCGUAGGUGAACCUGCGGAAGGAUCAUUACUGUGAUUUAUACACCACACUGCGUGGGCGACACGAAACACCGAAACCGAACGCACGCCGUCAAGCAAGAAAUCCACAAAACUUUCAACAACGGAUCUCUUGGUUCUCGCAUCGAUGAAGAGCGCAGCGAAAUGCGAUACCUAGUGUGAAUUGCAGCCAUCGUGAAUCAUCGAGUUCUUGAACGCACAUUGCGCCCGCUGGUAUUCCGGCGGGCAUGCCUGUCUGAGCGUCGUUUCCUUCUUGGAGCGCAGCUUCAGACCUGGCGGGCUGUCUUUGUGGACGGCGCGCCCAAAGCGAGGGGCCUUCUGCGCGAACUAGACUGUGCGCGCGGGGCGGCCGGCGAACUUAUUACCAAGCUCGACCUCAGAUCAGGCAGGAGUACCCGCUGAACUUAAGCAUAUCAAUAA